UGUAUUCCUGGUGAAUGAGCAAAAAGUUAAUUUCCACAGUACUAUGAUGAUUAAUUUAUGCAGUGGUUAAUUUGAGGUGGACUAUGAGAGAUAGAACAAAUUAGAAUCAAGAAGAUUAUAAAACAGCUACUGAAAUUCAAUAGGUAUAAUAUUGCUUACAGUUUCUUUGGUUCUUAUGUUAUAAUGGCAUUUUGUGAUCUGCAGGCUCCCCUCAUGGUUUUAGAUAGCCCGAUUAAUAAAGCUGGGAAGUUGCGAUGUGUGUAUAUGAAGACCGAGGAUGGUAAACUUAUUGAGAUUAAACCAUCUGUUCGUAUCCCAAGGUGUCAUGUUGCAGCUGCUACGGAAACUAAGUAUAGCUGAGCAAAAAAUCUAGGGAUUGAAAUUAAAAGCAGAAGAUGAGUACAUAUUAAAGGAGUUGACUAUUGUUAGACAGAGUUUUCUUGUUGGAGAGCUGUUAUUGUUGGCUGUGCUGCUAUUGCUGGAGUUGUAAGGAGCUAGCUUG
Molecule: long non-coding RNA, 502 nt
Organism: Rosa rugosa (rugosa rose)
Lineage: Eukaryota; Viridiplantae; Streptophyta; Magnoliopsida; Rosales; Rosaceae
Exons: 3
Source: RefSeq, a predicted model, not a curated record